AAUGCUCUGCGACACCGGAGCACUGCAGAGACGCUGAUUAGAUUGUUUCUAAAGUACGCGUUGCUAUCAGUGAACUGUUCUGUGUUGUUAAACGCUUGAUUGCGUGUCGUCUCGUCCUUUUUCAUGCUAGCGGCAGCGUUGAGUUGUGCCCAAUGUUUUGAAACUCCCGGCCCGCGCGCUCUGGGUUUUCACGCCGCGUCCAGCGGGAUGGCGCGGUUCGACUGGCGCUGGCGUUUGGCGUAUUGAUAGGACACGCUCCUAACUGGGUGUCGUCGUUGUGCUCGUGUACGGCGUGUGCCUCGCGCCGGCGUGCGGAAGUCUGUAUCAUCAAGAAAAAACUGCAGGUGGCUGGAAGCUGCCGAUCAGCUGCCAGUCUGGAUAGUAGCCAUCAACUCAGCAAAGGCCUGCAGGCGAAUCAGCCCAACCUGUUUCUCUGCUGCCUUUCAAGACAGGAUGCUUUGUGAAAAGUGAAACGGGGCCCACGCACUGCUUCCGCAGGGCCCUGCUGUGGGAGCUCAUGGAGGUGGCACGGUGCAUGGAAGGACAGAGUGGCUGACAGUGAGCUGCCCAAGCAAGCUGCUGGCUCUUGUGACCGUCUCCGAAAGCCUGUGGAUGGGCUAAAUUGCAGACGUGCCUGGACAUUUAUAAAUGGUGCUGCUAUCCAGCUCUACGUCACAGCCAUGAAGUGGCCAUGGGGUGAACUAUGUACAACUGCUGUCAUUAGUACUCGAAUCGGCAGAGCCACCUACUAGCUGUGAAGCCCAGUUGCCAGGCAGCAGAUACUCGACCAGCAACCAGCCUUUGUCGCUCUAGUGGGACACGAGAGCGACAAACAGAAACAAACGACAGCUACAAGCCUCCAACCCAUUCAGCAUGCCCGUGGUGGUACUUUUG
This is a long non-coding RNA of Ixodes scapularis (black-legged tick), 894 nucleotides long. RefSeq lists it as uncharacterized. The record is from RefSeq and is a predicted model, not a curated record. The transcript is spliced from 4 exons. NCBI's taxonomy places the organism in Eukaryota, Metazoa, Arthropoda, Arachnida, Ixodida, Ixodidae.